CAAGUCGUUGCUCUUAGAUAUAAGAGUAAUGACUUUUAUGCUAAGCCCAAUGUCGAGGAGGGAUGUCCUCGUUACCUCUAUUGAUUUUGUGUAGUUCAGUUUUUGUACGAGGACGUGCUCGUCACCUGGCGUAAUCCUGCUCGUGAUGUUUAUGAGGAGGUUGAAGAUCAUAAUUGUUUAAAGAGGGACGUGCUCGUCACUUUGCUCGUCAGCUGUUAUAACCUUGCUCAUUAUGUUCACGAGGAGGUAUUUUGGUGAAACGCUGCUUUCAUACGAGCAGCUGCUCAUGAAAGAGGUGUAUUUAUUGCUCGUGCCUGUGGCGACGAGGGGGUGUCUGUGAAGAGGUGUAUUUGCUUUUUGUUUUUACGAGGGGGUGUAUAAACCGUUGGAUCAAAGUGCCCUCUUGUUGUAGUGGCCUUUGAUUUCUUUAAAUAGAGAGGAGUGAAUUUAUUUUUUACAUUUCACUCUCUCUCUUCGUUUGCUGUCGUUAGGAUUCUCUGGGAGCUUUGCUCAAGUGUCAAGUCUCGUUCUUUGAAUCUUCUUCGAAUUCAAGGUAUUCCUCAAAUUUCUUCUUAUGAUUUGCUUGUUUAGAUCUAGUUUUUGUUGUUUUUUGCUCAGUUUGGGUGUUUUUCUGGGUUCUGCUAUGAAGAACAUGAUGAACAUAGGAUGAAUUUUCCGGGCACUAUAUGAAAUUUCCGAGCACUAGAUUAGCGAAGGAUAGAUUUCUGGGUAGAUUUAGGAGUCUUCGUUUGGUCGGGGAACCUCGUCCCCUUCAAAGUAAAUCUGCUCGAAAUUUUAACCGGGGAGCUUUGUCCCCUUCAAAGAAUUUUGCUGGGUAUUAAUCCGGGGAGCAUCGUCCCCUUCGAACUUUU
RNAcentral lists this long non-coding RNA (872 nucleotides) under Trifolium pratense (red clover). Its description in RNAcentral is "long non-coding RNA (TPRA_LNC007667)". The record is from RNAcentral. Lineage: Eukaryota; Viridiplantae; Streptophyta; Magnoliopsida; Fabales; Fabaceae.